CAUUGCCAUCUGGUAUCUGACACGUGGUCUUCUUUUAUGCCUACUUGUCUUGAAAUAUGGCAUACAAUAAGGGGGAACGGACCUUGCGACACUGGUUGCUCGUCAUGAGCAUCUAGUUACUAUAUAGCCGUUUACAUGU
Small nucleolar RNA from Lolium rigidum, 139 nucleotides. RefSeq annotates it as small nucleolar RNA F1/F2/snoR5a. The transcript has a single exon. Lineage: Eukaryota; Viridiplantae; Streptophyta; Magnoliopsida; Poales; Poaceae. The record is from RefSeq and is a predicted model, not a curated record.